This 290-nucleotide unclassified non-coding RNA is filed under the name plant metagenome. RNAcentral describes it as "partial contains small subunit ribosomal RNA, internal transcribed spacer 1, and 5.8S ribosomal RNA". The stretch from base 1 to 53 matches the Rfam family "Eukaryotic small subunit ribosomal RNA", at positions 1778 to 1831 of the family's 1831-position model. The record is from RNAcentral.
GGAAGUAAAAGCGUAACAAGGUUUCCGUAGGUGAACCUGCGGAAGGAUCAUUAAUGAGUUGUCAUGGGGUUCGAUGCUGGCAGCCAAUUUUUGGAUGCAUGUGCUUGCCCUAACAAUCAUCUUCCAAACACCUGUGCACAUUUUUGAGGGAGUCUUGAGUUGGUUGCCGCUCUUGGGUGAUUUUCUCACAUUCCCUUAAAUCAUUAUACGCUAUUAACAAUGUUGAACGUGCUCUGUGCCGCAAGGCUAUUAAUAUAAUACAACUUUUAACAACGGAUCUCUUGGCUCUC